Molecule: ribosomal RNA, 489 nt
Filed under: uncultured bacterium
Lineage: Bacteria
Description: partial 16S ribosomal RNA
Rfam family: Bacterial small subunit ribosomal RNA
Source: RNAcentral
GACGAACGCUGGCGGCGUGCUUAACACAUGCAAGUCGAACGGAAAGGCCCCCAUCUUGGUGGGGGUGCUCGAGUGGCGAACGGGUGAGUAACACGUGGGUGAUCUGCCCUGUACUUCGGGAUAAGCUUGGGAAACUGGGUCUAAUACCGGAUAGGACCAUGGUUUAGUGUCUCAUGGUGGAAAGAUUAUUGUUUUGGUGCAGGAUGAGCUCGCGGCCUAUCAACUUGUUGGUGGGGUAAUGGCCUACCAAGGCGUCGACGGGUAGCCGGCCUGAGAGGGUGGACGGCCACAUUGGGACUGAGAUACGGCCCAGACUCCUACGGGAGGCAGCAGUGGGGAAUAUUGCACAAUGGGCGCAAGCCUGAUGCAGCGACGCCGCGUGGGGGAUGACGGCCUUCGGGUUGUAAACUCCUUUCGUUAGGGACGAAGCCGCACUUUUUUUGGGUGUGGUGACGGUACCUUUGUGAAGAAGCACCGGCUAACUACGUG